CCGAAUUUGGUAAUGGAAAUUCAUCGUUGAAACCGAAUCAUAUAAUCAUAUUUUUGAUCUUCACUGACUAAUUUUGAAUUUAAUUUAGUUGAGUAGAAUCUCAGUUUGUUUCCUAUACUAUUCCAAUAAAUUCGCAUAGCAACGAUCAAGGCAAGUUUUCAAAAUUCAGUAUUUUGAAUAUAAAGGGGAUCUGAAUAUUUUCCUUGGACAUAAUUUUAAUUGAUUUUACGGAAAAAAUUAUGGCAAAUGGCUAUAAUUGCCCUCGGCCCGCGUCUUGCAUAUAUAAAUACAAGGCCGUAUGAUUACAUCUCCUCAUCCGUAAAGUAGUAUCCUUAUAUUUUGUUUCUUUCAUAUUUUAGUAUUAUUUUGCUUAUGUUUCGUUUUAUUUUAUAUUUAUAAUUUAGUUUAUGAAAACAAUAAUUUUAUUGCUUUUGUUUCGUUUUUAUCUUUGCUUCAUAAUUUAUUUUUAUAUAAGUUUUUGCUUACUCUUAUAGAUUCAUUUCCACGAAAUAUACUUCAAUUAAAAAAACAAAUACACAAGUUUUUUUUUAAAUCCAAGCUUACUUUAUAUAGACAUACACAAUUUCGUUGAAUCCCCCUUAUUAUAUAACAUGUAAUAUUUCUUUCUAACACUAUUAACUUUCUAAUACCUAUUGAUUCAAAAAUCUCUUUAAAUCUUUUCAUCCCGCGCAGGGCGCGGAUUAUCAUCUAGUCACUGUUAUUUGCCUAUCGCCACCGUCUGGGCUGUCAACUGGGCUACGAUCUGCCUAUAAUUUUAGGCCCAAUUGGAUAGAAAUACACAACGACCAUAGCAAGCUUCUUUUUUUUUUUUUCUUUUUUUCCUGAGAAUAGGUAAUCCAAAAUUUCCAAAACAUUAUAAAACACUAGAUGCUUCGUCCGCUCUACGCGCGGAA
This 914-nucleotide long non-coding RNA is filed under the name Brassica napus (rape). Its description in RNAcentral is "long non-coding RNA (BNAP_LNC021596)". The record is from RNAcentral. Lineage: Eukaryota; Viridiplantae; Streptophyta; Magnoliopsida; Brassicales; Brassicaceae.